RNAcentral lists this ribosomal RNA (497 nucleotides) under uncultured bacterium. RNAcentral describes it as "partial 16S ribosomal RNA". It matches the Rfam family "Bacterial small subunit ribosomal RNA", at positions 28 to 507 of the family's 1533-position model. The record is from RNAcentral.
GAUGAACGCUGGCGGCGUGCCUAAUACAUGCAAGUCGAGCGAACGGACGAGAAGCUUGCUUCUCUGAUGUUAGCGGCGGACGGGUGAGUAACACGUGGAUAACCUACCUAUAAGACUGGGAUAACCUCGGGAAACCGGAGCUAAUACCGGAUGAUAUUUUGAACCGCAUGGUUCAAAAGUGAAAGACGGUCUUGCUGUCACUUAUAGAUGGAUCCGCGCUGCAUUAGCUAGUUGGUAAGGUAACGGCUUACCAAGGCAACGAUGCAUAGCCGACCUGAGAGGGUGAUCGGCCACACUGGAACUGAGACACGGUCCAGACUCCUACGGGGGGCAGCAGUAGGGAAUCUUCCGCAAUGGGCGAAAGCCUGACGGAGCAACGCCGCGUGAGUGAUGAAGGUCUUCGGAUCGUAAAACUCUGUUAUUAGGGAAGAACAUAUGUGUAAGUAACUGUGCACAUCUUGACGGUACCUAAUCAGAAAGCCACGGCUAACUACGUG